This 207-nucleotide ribosomal RNA is filed under the name uncultured bacterium. Its description in RNAcentral is "partial 16S ribosomal RNA". It matches the Rfam family "Bacterial small subunit ribosomal RNA", at positions 568 to 774 of the family's 1533-position model. The record is from RNAcentral.
UGUGUAGGCGGGUCGUUAAGUACCUUGUGAAAUCCCACGGCUUAACCGUGGAACCGCUUGGUAUACUGGCGAUCUUGAGCCACUUAGGGGUUACCGGAACAAACGGUGGAGCGGUGAAAUGCGUAGAUAUCGUUUGGAACGCCAAUGGUGAAAACAGGUAACUGGGAGUGCGCUGACGCUGAGACACGAAAGCCAGGGGAGCGAACG